This 16-nucleotide ribosomal RNA is filed under the name Cynodon dactylon (Bermuda grass). RNAcentral's name for it is "partial 28S ribosomal RNA". RNAcentral also lists the same sequence under 1 other name. Lineage: Eukaryota; Viridiplantae; Streptophyta; Magnoliopsida; Poales; Poaceae. The record is from RNAcentral.
GCGACCCCAGGUCAGU